This 2906-nucleotide ribosomal RNA is filed under the name Escherichia coli. Its description in RNAcentral is "23S ribosomal RNA". It matches the Rfam family "Bacterial large subunit ribosomal RNA". Lineage: Bacteria; Pseudomonadati; Pseudomonadota; Gammaproteobacteria; Enterobacterales; Enterobacteriaceae. The record is from RNAcentral.
GGUUAAGCGACUAAGCGUACACGGUGGAUGCCCUGGCAGUCAGAGGCGAUGAAGGACGUGCUAAUCUGCGAUAAGCGUCGGUAAGGUGAUAUGAACCGUUAUAACCGGCGAUUUCCGAAUGGGGAAACCCAGUGUGUUUCGACACACUAUCAUUAACUGAAUCCAUAGGUUAAUGAGGCGAACCGGGGGAACUGAAACAUCUAAGUACCCCGAGGAAAAGAAAUCAACCGAGAUUCCCCCAGUAGCGGCGAGCGAACGGGGAGCAGCCCAGAGCCUGAAUCAGUAUGUGUGUUAGUGGAAGCGUCUGGAAAGGCGCGCGAUACAGGGUGACAGCCCCGUACACAAAAAUGCACAUAUUGUGAGCUCGAUGAGUAGGGCGGGACACGUGGUAUCCUGUCUGAAUAUGGGGGGACCAUCCUCCAAGGCUAAAUACUCCUGACUGACCGAUAGUGAACCAGUACCGUGAGGGAAAGGCGAAAAGAACCCCGGCGAGGGGAGUGAAAAAGAACCUGAAACCGUGUACGUACAAGCAGUGGGAGCACGCUUAGGCGUGUGACUGCGUACCUUUUGUAUAAUGGGUCAGCGACUUAUAUUCUGUAGCAAGGUUAACCGAAUAGGGGAGCCGAAGGGAAACCGAGUCUUAACUGGGCGUUAAGUUGCAGGGUAUAGACCCGAAACCCGGUGAUCUAGCCAUGGGCAGGUUGAAGGUUGGGUAACACUAACUGGAGGACCGAACCGACUAAUGUUGAAAAAUUAGCGGAUGACUUGUGGCUGGGGGUGAAAGGCCAAUCAAACCGGGAGAUAGCUGGUUCUCCCCGAAAGCUAUUUAGGUAGCGCCUCGUGAAUUCAUCUCCGGGGGUAGAGCACUGUUUCGGCAAGGGGGUCAUCCCGACUUACCAACCCGAUGCAAACUGCGAAUACCGGAGAAUGUUAUCACGGGAGACACACGGCGGGUGCUAACGUCCGUCGUGAAGAGGGAAACAACCCAGACCGCCAGCUAAGGUCCCAAAGUCAUGGUUAAGUGGGAAACGAUGUGGGAAGGCCCAGACAGCCAGGAUGUUGGCUUAGAAGCAGCCAUCAUUUAAAGAAAGCGUAAUAGCUCACUGGUCGAGUCGGCCUGCGCGGAAGAUGUAACGGGGCUAAACCAUGCACCGAAGCUGCGGCAGCGACACUUAUGUGUUGUUGGGUAGGGGAGCGUUCUGUAAGCCUGUGAAGGUGUGCUGUGAGGCAUGCUGGAGGUAUCAGAAGUGCGAAUGCUGACAUAAGUAACGAUAAAGCGGGUGAAAAGCCCGCUCGCCGGAAGACCAAGGGUUCCUGUCCAACGUUAAUCGGGGCAGGGUGAGUCGACCCCUAAGGCGAGGCCGAAAGGCGUAGUCGAUGGGAAACAGGUUAAUAUUCCUGUACUUGGUGUUACUGCGAAGGGGGGACGGAGAAGGCUAUGUUGGCCGGGCGACGGUUGUCCCGGUUUAAGCGUGUAGGCUGGUUUUCCAGGCAAAUCCGGAAAAUCAAGGCUGAGGCGUGAUGACGAGGCACUACGGUGCUGAAGCAACAAAUGCCCUGCUUCCAGGAAAAGCCUCUAAGCAUCAGGUAACAUCAAAUCGUACCCCAAACCGACACAGGUGGUCAGGUAGAGAAUACCAAGGCGCUUGAGAGAACUCGGGUGAAGGAACUAGGCAAAAUGGUGCCGUAACUUCGGGAGAAGGCACGCUGAUAUGUAGGUGAAGUCCCUCGCGGAUGGAGCUGAAAUCAGUCGAAGAUACCAGCUGGCUGCAACUGUUUAUUAAAAACACAGCACUGUGCAAACACGAAAGUGGACGUAUACGGUGUGACGCCUGCCCGGUGCCGGAAGGUUAAUUGAUGGGGUUAGCCGCAAGGCGAAGCUCUUGAUCGAAGCCCCGGUAAACGGCGGCCGUAACUAUAACGGUCCUAAGGUAGCGAAAUUCCUUGUCGGGUAAGUUCCGACCUGCACGAAUGGCGUAAUGAUGGCCAGGCUGUCUCCACCCGAGACUCAGUGAAAUUGAACUCGCUGUGAAGAUGCAGUGUACCCGCGGCAAGACGGAAAGACCCCGUGAACCUUUACUAUAGCUUGACACUGAACAUUGAGCCUUGAUGUGUAGGAUAGGUGGGAGGCUUAGAAGUGUGGACGCCAGUCUGCAUGGAGCCGACCUUGAAAUACCACCCUUUAAUGUUUGAUGUUCUAACGUUGACCCGUAAUCCGGGUUGCGGACAGUGUCUGGUGGGUAGUUUGACUGGGGCGGUCUCCUCCUAAAGAGUAACGGAGGAGCACGAAGGUUGGCUAAUCCUGGUCGGACAUCAGGAGGUUAGUGCAAUGGCAUAAGCCAGCUUGACUGCGAGCGUGACGGCGCGAGCAGGUGCGAAAGCAGGUCAUAGUGAUCCGGUGGUUCUGAAUGGAAGGGCCAUCGCUCAACGGAUAAAAGGUACUCCGGGGAUAACAGGCUGAUACCGCCCAAGAGUUCAUAUCGACGGCGGUGUUUGGCACCUCGAUGUCGGCUCAUCACAUCCUGGGGCUGAAGUAGGUCCCAAGGGUAUGGCUGUUCGCCAUUUAAAGUGGUACGCGAGCUGGGUUUAGAACGUCGUGAGACAGUUCGGUCCCUAUCUGCCGUGGGCGCUGGAGAACUGAGGGGGGCUGCUCCUAGUACGAGAGGACCGGAGUGGACGCAUCACUGGUGUUCGGGUUGUCAUGCCAAUGGCACUGCCCGGUAGCUAAAUGCGGAAGAGAUAAGUGCUGAAAGCAUCUAAGCACGAAACUUGCCCCGAGAUGAGUUCUCCCUGACUCCUUGAGAGUCCUGAAGGAACGUUGAAGACGACGACGUUGAUAGGCCGGGUGUGUAAGCGCAGCGAUGCGUUGAGCUAACCGGUACUAAUGAACCGUGAGGCUUAACCUU